AACCAUAGAAACCUGCGGAGUACCUGCGGAAGGAUCAUUAUUGGAUUUUCCCAAAGAAAAAUGUUGUGCUUUCUUUCUUUCUCUUGAGAGAGAGAGAGAGAGAGAGAGAACAGUGCAAUGUUUUUCUCAAACAAACGAUCACAACUAGCAAGAGAAAAGGAAAUUGAUUUGGUUGGAAACAAGUGUUUGCCUGAUAAUCAAGAUGAUUUGGAUUGAAGAAAGAAAAACAACUUUUAGCAA
RNAcentral lists this unclassified non-coding RNA (240 nucleotides) under soil metagenome. RNAcentral describes it as "partial contains 5.8S ribosomal RNA, internal transcribed spacer 2, and large subunit ribosomal RNA". The record is from RNAcentral.